This 369-nucleotide long non-coding RNA is filed under the name Homo sapiens (human). RNAcentral describes it as "non-protein coding PRKG1-AS1:1". Lineage: Eukaryota; Metazoa; Chordata; Mammalia; Primates; Hominidae. The record is from RNAcentral.
CUUUGGGAGAAACUUAGUUUAUAGUUUAUAGUUUAAACAAAGAUGGUAACAGCCCUUUCCCAAAGCAGACCUCCUUCUUGCCUGAGGACUAGAUUGCCUUCCAGCCAAAAUAUAAAUACGCCUUUAAUAGUAACACCUAAUUACCUAACACCAUCAAAAAUGGGGUGCUCCAUGAAGAAGCACAUAAUUCAAAUUAUUGAAGUUUAUCCCCUUCUAUCUUUAUGCUGCUUUCAUAUACUGUCUUGCUUUGAUUAUGAUAAUUCAUUAAUUAAAAUACAUCAAACAACACCUCAUUCCUGUUGAACUGCUUCAAGGACCAGAUGUUAAAAUUCUCCAAUUACAUUUUUAUUCCACUGAUAACAUGUGUCA